AUGGCGACGACGGCCACGGGGUACGGCUGCUCGGCGGCGCUGUCGUUCCCGGGGAGGGGGAGCUCCUUCGCCGGUCGCUCACCCCCGUCCCGCGCUUGCCUCACCUCCUCCAAUCCCAAGCUCAGGACUCCCGCUCCUAGCCUGAGGGUUUCAUAUCUUCGUAGGGGACUCUAUGUCUGUGCGUGCUCCGGCGACGUUGAUCCGGAUGCCUCGGAGGAAGCUAGUUUUGAUAUAAAGCUUCCUAGAAGAAGCUUGCUUGUUCAGUUUACAUGUAAUAAAUGUGAUGCAAGGACAAAACGUUUGAUAAACAGGGUGGGCUAUGAAAGAGGAACAGUUUUUCUUCAGUGUGCAGGGUGCCAGGUGUAUCACAAGUUUGUUGACAAUCUUGGUCUAAUUGUCGAGUAUGACCUACGAGAAGAAAAUGGUGUGAACACUUGUACUGAAGACUGA
This 450-nucleotide ribosomal RNA is filed under the name Triticum aestivum (bread wheat). RNAcentral describes it as "partial small subunit ribosomal RNA". Lineage: Eukaryota; Viridiplantae; Streptophyta; Magnoliopsida; Poales; Poaceae. The record is from RNAcentral.